This 220-nucleotide unclassified non-coding RNA is filed under the name fungal sp. RNAcentral describes it as "partial internal transcribed spacer region". The stretch from base 1 to 46 matches the Rfam family "Eukaryotic small subunit ribosomal RNA", at positions 1786 to 1831 of the family's 1831-position model. Lineage: Eukaryota; Fungi. The record is from RNAcentral.
AAGUCGUAACAAGGUUUCCGUAGGUGAACCUGCGGAAGGAUCAUUAAUAGAUUGCUUGCCAGUCAAAAAGCCGUGGUGAGCUACCGGGGUGUUAACUUGUCAGUCACGGGAACGUGACUGUAAGAGAACACGUAGUCACCACUUUACCUUACUGAAUAUUACACUUACUGAAGUUGAACCAAAGUCUAGAAAACUUUUAGCAAUGGAUCUCUAGGCUCUU